This 164-nucleotide small nuclear RNA is filed under the name Apaloderma vittatum (bar-tailed trogon). Its description in RNAcentral is "U1 spliceosomal RNA". It matches the Rfam family "U1 spliceosomal RNA". Rfam says of the family: U1 is a small nuclear RNA (snRNA) component of the spliceosome (involved in pre-mRNA splicing). Its 5' end forms complementary base pairs with the 5' splice junction, thus defining the 5' donor site of an intron. There are significant differences in sequence and secondary structure between metazoan and yeast U1 snRNAs, the latter being much longer (568 nucleotides as compared to 164 nucleotides in human). Lineage: Eukaryota; Metazoa; Chordata; Aves; Trogoniformes; Trogonidae. The record is from Rfam by way of RNAcentral.
CUACUUAUCUGGCAGGGGAGACACCAUGACCAGGAAGGUGGCUUUCCAAGAGCAAGGCUCAUCCCCUGUACUUUGGGUAUGCCAGCCCCUGCAAUUUCCCCAGAUGCAGGAAACUUAACUCCAUAAUUUGUGGUAGUAGGGGACUGCAUUUGUGCUCUCUCCUA